Molecule: ribosomal RNA, 553 nt
Filed under: Staphylococcus epidermidis
Lineage: Bacteria; Bacillati; Bacillota; Bacilli; Caryophanales; Staphylococcaceae
Description: bacterial SSU rRNA
Rfam family: Bacterial small subunit ribosomal RNA
Source: RNAcentral
CUUGCUCCUCUGACGUUAGCGGCGGACGGGUGAGUAACACGUGGAUAACCUACCUAUAAGACUGGGAUAACUUCGGGAAACCGGAGCUAAUACCGGAUAAUAUAUUGAACCGCAUGGUUCAAUAGUGAAAGACGGUUUUGCUGUCACUUAUAGAUGGAUCCGCGCCGCAUUAGCUAGUUGGUAAGGUAACGGCUUACCAAGGCAACGAUGCGUAGCCGACCUGAGAGGGUGAUCGGCCACACUGGAACUGAGACACGGUCCAGACUCCUACGGGAGGCAGCAGUAGGGAAUCUUCCGCAAUGGGCGAAAGCCUGACGGAGCAACGCCGCGUGAGUGAUGAAGGUCUUCGGAUCGUAAAACUCUGUUAUUAGGGAAGAACAAAUGUGUAAGUAACUAUGCACGUCUUGACGGUACCUAAUCAGAAAGCCACGGCUAACUACGUGCCAGCAGCCGCGGUAAUACGUAGGUGGCAAGCGUUAUCCGGAAUUAUUGGGCGUAAAGCGCGCGUAGGCGGUUUUUUAAGUCUGAUGUGAAAGCCCACGGCUCAACCGUG